AACGAACGCUGGCGGCGCGCCUAAUACAUGCAAGUCGAGCGAGAAGACGUAGCAAUACGUUUGUAAAGCGGCGAACGGGUGAGGAAUACAUGGGUAACCUACCCUCGAGUGGGGAAUAACUAGCCGAAAGGUUAGCUAAUACCGCGUACGCUCCUUGGACUUCGGUUCAGGGAGGAAAGCGAUACCGUGGGUAUCGCGCUCUUGGAUGGGCUCAUGUCCUAUCAGCUUGUUGGUGAGGUAACGGCUCACCAAGGCUUCGACGGGUAGCUGGUCUGAGAGGACGGAUCAGCCACACUGGCACUGCGACACGGGCCA
This 315-nucleotide ribosomal RNA is filed under the name uncultured bacterium. RNAcentral describes it as "bacterial SSU rRNA". It matches the Rfam family "Bacterial small subunit ribosomal RNA", at positions 29 to 333 of the family's 1533-position model. The record is from RNAcentral.